UGCAAGUGUUAUGGUUACCCUCUACAGGUACCCAUGAGAAAAAGAGGGUUUCUUCUUGGUGGGUUCCAGCUUGUGCCAGUAGGAUGCUUACUGCCUUGCAAACCUGCUCCUGUCCAGAGUUGCUGAGGCAGGGCCUCCUUCCUGCAGGCACCAAAGGUGCUGGUCCCCUGUCCCAGGAUUCCAGAAACUGGUGGAAUUUUUUCCCGCCCCAUGGAGGGAUGUCUUGACUUUCAUUUUGACUACACUUUUGAGAAUUUUUUUUUCUAUUACUGACGAAAGCUUCUCCAGAAAACCUUGAAAGGGCUUAAGAAUGUGUCCCCAGCUGAUCCCUGCAAGGUCAAUGUAGAACUGGCCCUGGCCCUGGAUGGAGUCGCUCGGGGAAGGGCAGUGUUUCUCCAUCUCGUCCCAGGUCACUGCUGAUGUGAAGAUGAGGAACUUGGGCGCAUCCACGUGAACAAUCUCUCUUUGGCCUUAAAGGGCUGCGUCGCCCUGAAAGAGCCACAGCUCAGUGAGGCUGCUCUUAAGAUCACAAGUUCAAACGGAACAUAGAGAACUCCGUUCUGUAGUUGCCGCAUGAUGUUUAGUGGCUACCUGGAUGGCUGAGAAGACACUGUAAUUGAACUCCAAGGGCUCUCACGUUUAUGGAUGUAAAGACGCACCACGCAGAUGAUGAUACAUACAGAGAUGAGAAAGAUUUAAUACCCUCAGCAAGUUAGGAAUCAAUUAAGCCACUGUCCCCCUCUGAGGAGAGCGUGGGGACUUUACUCAGGGAGCUUAAAUAUAGUCCUGGAUGAGUAGCCAUUCAUAAGCAUGCUUGGCAAAGGAGGGCAGCACCUUCGUGGCCAUGCACAGUUUAAGGUAAUGGAGCACACGCUUCGAUUUAAGUGAUGUUGAGAGUCUCCCACAAAGGUGCCCACCUUGCUUCUCGGCGGCCAACAGCACCACUGUUGGUACUUGGUGUUAUGCAGCUGCCUGUAGGAGUCACAGGGAGUCAAAACCAAUGGGAUAAAGACAGUCCUGAAAACUCCUUGUGUGUGAUGGCUGCGGUUACCCUGAACAAAUCUCAUCCCCCAAGAAGAGGCCCUGACGUCAGAGAUGGUGCCCAGCUCAUAGCUCCAAGGUUCCCUCCCGAUAGAGCCUGCGUCUUCAGAGAUGCAUCAGUGACGCUGCUGAUGCACGAGAGUGCAUGGCUGUUUCCAUGUACUGCUUCGCUGUUUUCUGCAAGGAUCUGCCUCCCCACUUGCAGAGCACAGAGGUGUCCAGGUGGCACUAACUGCCUCCACCCCUCCUCCAGGCUUUUUUCUGCUGUUGCAGGAUGCCCAGGCCCUGUGCUUGUUGGCAUUUGUUCUGUCAGGCUUCAAGCUUUUUCUCUUGGAAGCCUUUUAAGAGCCAAACCCUCACCAUUUACUGAAUAAAACUUUCCCAGGGUUAAAACACUCUUUGUGCUAAGGGAUAAAGACAACUUAAAGGGUUCGGGUCCUCUGUGGGGCCACCGGGUUACACUAAACUGCUGCUGCAUGCACACAGCUCAUAGUGACCCUUCUCACAGUGUCCUCCCAUGUUGUCUUCCCCCAUAGCCUAAUGAGGAAUGGCUACAGCUUCACCCACAGAGCACAUAAAUCUCUCUUGUACCUUUGGAAGUGCAAAUGAGAGGUUCAUUAAUUAGGUAGACCUGUGCCGAUAGGUGUGCUGUGCAGGUCACCUCGGGAUUAGACAGGUUAGAGAUUGCAUCACAGACAGAAACCUCCAAACAUUGGGGGCAAAAUUACUCUUCUGUAGUCACAAACUGAAAACCUCUGAAUAUGUACAUUUUUAGAUGGGUGACUGGCAUACUUGUCUCCUUGGAGAAAGGCAUGAUGUGGCCUAUUCCUCCAAAUAGCCAGGGGAGGAGACUUCAAGUAGUAGAAAUGCAGAGAUGUUUGGACUGCUAAGCUGCCUGUAACCAUGCAAAGAGGCCCAGGUUUUCAGCUUUCAUGGACUGUCACCCAAGUUUGGGUGGGCCUUCUGGUGGUAAACAUGCCUUUUUUUCCCCUUAAAGUCAUUGCUGUACCUUGUAUGUAACCCCACGUCAAUAUUCCUGGCAGUGACCCCAAUAAAACUUCAUUGCCUCACCA
Long non-coding RNA from Mus spicilegus (steppe mouse), 2114 nucleotides. NCBI's taxonomy places the organism in Eukaryota, Metazoa, Chordata, Mammalia, Rodentia, Muridae. The record is from Ensembl.